RNAcentral lists this ribosomal RNA (1252 nucleotides) under metagenome. RNAcentral describes it as "bacterial SSU rRNA". It matches the Rfam family "Bacterial small subunit ribosomal RNA", at positions 243 to 1521 of the family's 1533-position model. The record is from RNAcentral.
AGCUCGUUGGUAGGGUAAUGGCCUACCAAGGCUACGACGGGUAGGGGGCCUGAGAGGGUGGCCCCCCACACUGGCACUGAAACACGGGCCAGACACCUACGGGUGGCAGCAGUAGGGAAUAUUGCACAAUGGGCGAAAGCCUGAUGCAGCAACGCCGCGUGAACGAUGAAGACCUUCGGGUUGUAAAGUUCUUUUCUGAAGGACGAGGAAGGACGGUACUUCAGGAAUAAGGAUCGGCUAACUACGUGCCAGCAGCCGCGGUAAUACGUAGGAUCCGAGCGUUAUCCGAAUUUACUGGGCGUAAAGCGUGUGCAGGCGGUUUGGUAAGUUGGAUGUGAAAGCUCCCGGCUCAACUGGGAGAGGCCGUUCAAAACUACCAGACUUGAGGACGGUAGAGGGAGGUAGAAUUCCCGGUGUAGUAGUGAAAUGCGUAGAUAUCGGGAGGAAUACCAGUGGCGAAGGCGGCCUCCUGGGCCGUUCCUGACGCUCAGACACGAAAGCUAGGGGAGCGAACGGGAUUAGAAACCCCGGUAGUCCUAGCUGUAAACGAUGCAAACUUGGUGUUGGUGGGGUAAAAUCCGCCGGUGCCGAAGCUAACGCGAUAAGUUUGCCGCCUGGGGACUACGGCCGCAAGGUUAAAACUCAAAGGAAUUGACGGGGCCCCGCACAAGCAGCGGAGCGUGUGGUUUAAUUCGUUUUCUACGCGAAAAACCUUACCCGGGUUUGACAUAUAGGUAGUAGGGAUCCGAGAGGUGACCGACCCUUCGGGGAGCCUAUACAGGUGCUGCAUGGCUGUCGUCAGCUCGUGCCGUGAGGUGUCCGGUUAAGUCCGGUAACGAGCGCAACCCUCGCUGUAUGUUACAAGUGUCAUACAGGACUGCCGGUAUCAAGCCGGAGGAAGGCGGGGAUGACGUCAAGUCAGCAUGGCCUUUAUAUCCGGGGCUACACACACGCUACAAUGGCCGGUACAAUGGGUCGCAAAGCCGCGAGGUAGAGCCAAUCCCCAAAACCGGUCUCAGUUCAGACUGCAGGCUGCAACCCGCCUGCACGAAGCCGGAGUUGCUAGUAAACGCGCGUCAGCAUUAGUGCGUUGAAUACGUUCCCGGGGCUUGUACACACCGCCCGUCACGUCAUGGGAGCUGGUAACACCUGAAGCCGGUAUCCUAACCCGUAAGGGAGGGAGCUGUCGAAGGUGGGACUGGUGACUGGGACGAAGUCGUAACAAGGUAGGUGUACCGGAAGGUGCGCCUGG